CUCUUUAGGCAGCGGCAGGGGGAGCAGGCUGUUCUGGAGGCUGCAGGGGGAGCAGGCUGUUCUGUCUCUGCUCCCCCUCCCCAGCGCACUACAAAGAGACCGGGGCCGGAAUAUGACGUCAUAUUCCGGCCCCAGUCUCAUUAAGCGGCGCGCUGGGGAGGGGGAGCAGAGACAGAACAGCCUGCUCCCCCUGCAGCCUCCAGAACAGCCUGCUCCCCCUGCCGCCGCCUAAAGAGCUC
This 239-nucleotide small RNA is filed under the name Pelobates cultripes (western spadefoot toad). The record is from RNAcentral. Lineage: Eukaryota; Metazoa; Chordata; Amphibia; Anura; Pelobatidae.